CGACUUUUUGCGUUUUGGUCCGCCAUAUUGGAUCCGCCAUCUUGAAUUUCUAACUUUUGAGUACGGAUUCGUAAUCAGCGACCCUGAAAACCCCCGAGUACCAACUUUCGCUCUCGUCAAACGAGUUUUUGCACGUUUGGUCCGCCAUAUUGAAUUUUCAACUUUUGAGUGCAGAUUCGUAAUCAGCGACCCCAAAAACUCUCGAGUACAAAAUUUCAAUUUCGUCAAACGACUUUUUGCGUUUUGGUCUGCCAUAUUGGAUCCGCCAUCUUGAAUUUCUAACUUUUCAGUGCGGAUUCGUAAUCAGCGACCCUGAAAACCCCCGAGUACUAACUUUCGCUUUGGUCAAACGAGUUUUUGCACGUUUGGUCCGCUAUAUUGAAUCCGCUAUCUUAAAUUUCCAAAUUUUGAGUGCAGAUUCGUAAUCAGCGACCCCAAAAACC
Diprion similis is the source of this 443-nucleotide long non-coding RNA. RefSeq lists it as uncharacterized. The transcript is spliced from 3 exons. The record is from RefSeq and is a predicted model, not a curated record. Lineage: Eukaryota; Metazoa; Arthropoda; Insecta; Hymenoptera; Diprionidae.